ACGAACGCUGGCGGCGUGCCUAAUACAUGCAAGUCGAACGAACGGAGGAAGAGCUUGCUCUUCCAAAGUUAGUGGCGGACGGGUGAGUAACACGUGGGCAACCUGCCUGUAAGUUGGGGAUAACUCCGGGAAACCGGGGCUAAUACCGAAUAAUAAGUGGUGGCGCAUGCCACGGCUUUGAAAGAUGGUUUCGGCUAUCGCUUACAGAUGGGCCCGCGGUGCAUUAGCUAGUUGGUAGGGUAAUGGCCUACCAAGGCAACGAUGCAUAGCCGACCUGAGAGGGUGAUCGGCCACACUGGGACUGAGACACGGCCCAGACUCCUACGGGAGGCAGCAGUAGGGAAUCUUCCGCAAUGGACGAAAGUCUGACGGAGCAACGCCGCGUGUAUGAAGAAGGUUUUCGGAUCGUAAAGUACUGUUGUUAGAGAAGAACAAGGAYAAGAGUAACUGCUUGUCCCUUGACGGUAUCUAACCAGAAAGCCACGGCU
This 488-nucleotide ribosomal RNA is filed under the name Listeria welshimeri. Its description in RNAcentral is "bacterial SSU rRNA". It matches the Rfam family "Bacterial small subunit ribosomal RNA", at positions 29 to 498 of the family's 1533-position model. The record is from RNAcentral. Lineage: Bacteria; Bacillati; Bacillota; Bacilli; Caryophanales; Listeriaceae.